RNAcentral lists this long non-coding RNA (912 nucleotides) under Citrus x clementina. RNAcentral describes it as "Citrus clementina (C. clementina) long non-coding RNA (CCLE_LNC001730)". Lineage: Eukaryota; Viridiplantae; Streptophyta; Magnoliopsida; Sapindales; Rutaceae. The record is from RNAcentral.
ACUUUGAUAUUUGGUAUAUCAUUAUCUCGUAUAUCGAUGUAGAUUAAAUAUUAUAAUUUGACUCUUAACUAAAAGUUUAUUAAUUACUCUUAGUUAUACGUUUUUUUAUUUUUUGUUUUAUGCAAAUCAAAUAAUAACAACAAUAAUAACCAAGCAUUUAUAGGAAUGGCUAUAACAUAUAACAUCAUGUUCAUGUGAACCCAAACAUUCCUGACCAGAGUGCCUUUUUUAUUUUCCUGCUAAUUUCAAAAAUAAACAAAACAAAAAUCAUGGGGAAAAUCCCAAAAACAGACAGCCCAUUGGAUAAACAAAACAGUAGAAGUACAGUCAAAGCAACUUUUAACUUCACUGCUGGCAACAUCUUAUAAUUGAAUGUACACAUGAUGUACUGAUGUCAUGUAAGUCACUUUACAUGUAAUAAAACAAAAAGACAAACAAAUAUAGAAACUAUCUUUUUCUUUUUCUUUUUUAAUUUUAAUUUUUUCUUUUCUUUUUGUGUCCUUCGAAAGUGACCCUCCACUCAUAUUUGUUUAUAUUUUCUCUUUAAAAUAUUUACAUCGCUGACCGAAUAAAUUUUAAUAAAUUCAUUUUCCAAAAAGAAAAUUUUUGCUAUUAAAGAUGCCUAUUUCCUCCAACUUAACUAAUUUGACCAGUUAGCUACUUAUGAAGACUUACCUAAUUAGCUCGGUUAGUUAAGUUAUUUAUGAAGAGAAAAUUAAUUAGUUAAAAUAAAUAUCUAUGUCCUAUAUGGUUAGUUUUUUUGCUAGAGCAUCACCAAAUAACUUUUCAAAUAAGAUCACGUCAAUAUUUAAAGUUUCAAAAAAAUCCUCCAAUUAAGAUUUUUUAAAUAAGAAUUGAUUCUCUCUCUUCAAAUUUAGAGAGUUAAUUUUUCCAUCUUCAAUUUAUAUUUUA